UACGUAGGGUGCGAGCGUUGUCCGGAAUUACUGGGCGUAAAGAGCUCGUAGGCGGUUUGUCGCGUCGUCCGUGAAAACUUGGGGCUCAACCCCAAGCUUGCGGGCGAUACGGGCAGACUUGAGUACUGCAGGGGAGACUGGAAUUCCUGGUGUAGCGGUGAAAUGCGCAGAUAUCAGGAGGAACACCGGCGGCGAAGGCGGGUCUCUGGGCAGUAACUGACGCUGAGGAGCGAAAGCGUGGGUAGCAAACAGG
RNAcentral lists this ribosomal RNA (253 nucleotides) under uncultured bacterium. RNAcentral describes it as "partial 16S ribosomal RNA". It matches the Rfam family "Bacterial small subunit ribosomal RNA", at positions 524 to 776 of the family's 1533-position model. The record is from RNAcentral.